GAGGAACCUGCCUUUCAGUGGGGGACAACAGUUGGAAACGACUGCUAAUACCGCAUGAAGCAUUUAGGGGGCAUCCCCUGAAUGCCAAAGAUUUAUUGCUGAAAGAUGGCCUCGCGUCUGAUUAGCUAGUUGGAGGGGUAACGGCCCACCAAGGCGACGAUCAGUAGCCGGUCUGAGAGGAUGAACGGCCACAUUGGGACUGAGAUACGGCCCAGACUCCUACGGGAGGCAGCAGUGGGGAAUAUUGGGCAAUGGGGGAAACCCUGACCCAGCAACGCCGCGUGAAGGAAGAAGGCUUUCGGGUUGUAAACUUCUUUUACCAGGGACGAAGAAAGUGACGGUACCUGGAGAAAAAGCCACGGCUAACUACGUGCCAGCAGCCGCGGUAAUACGUAGGUGGCAAGCGUUGUCCGGAUUUACUGGGUGUAAAGGGCGUGUAGGCGGAGAUUCAAGUCAGGAGUGAAAACUAUGGGCUUAACCCAUAAA
Molecule: ribosomal RNA, 486 nt
Filed under: uncultured bacterium
Lineage: Bacteria
Description: bacterial SSU rRNA
Rfam family: Bacterial small subunit ribosomal RNA
Source: RNAcentral